Molecule: ribosomal RNA, 267 nt
Filed under: Alphaproteobacteria bacterium
Lineage: Bacteria; Pseudomonadati; Pseudomonadota; Alphaproteobacteria
Description: partial 23S ribosomal RNA
Rfam family: Bacterial large subunit ribosomal RNA
Source: RNAcentral
GGGUGUCGGAAAAUUGAGAGGAGUUGCCCCUAGUACGAGAGGACCGGGGUGAACGUACCUCUGGUGUACCAGUUGUGGCGCCAGCCGCACCGCUGGGUAGCUAAGUACGGACGAGAUAACCGCUGAAAGCAUCUAAGCGGGAAACUCUCCUCGAAACUAGUUUUCCCUAUGAGAGUCGUGGAAGACCACCACGUUGAUAGGCUAGGUGUGGAAGUGCGGUAACGCAUGAAGCUAACUAGUACUAAUCACUCCAUUGGCUUGAUUCCA